Tupaia belangeri (northern tree shrew) is the source of this 103-nucleotide small nuclear RNA. The record is from Ensembl. NCBI's taxonomy places the organism in Eukaryota, Metazoa, Chordata, Mammalia, Scandentia, Tupaiidae.
GUGCUCACCUUGCAGCAUCUAUACUAAAAUUGGAAUGAUACAGAGAUUAGCGAGACCCCUGAGCAAGGAUGACACACAGAUUUGUGAAGCGUUCCAUAUUUUU